GUUAUUUGUCAAUUACAUUAAGUAAAGGAAUUAGCAUUAUCACAGGUCCAAACAUGGUGAUUAUGAGAAUUUGCUAUUAUGGUGUUACACAGGAUUAAUGUGUCAAAACAGCCCAAGGUGAUAUAUGCACUGACGAAGUUUUCUGGUUGGGUCCAUUAAGUGUAUACCUGCAGUAAAAAGCAAUUUAAAACUUAGCAAAGUCAUCACUAGAUCACUGACAAACUCAUCCUUAGAGACAGUGCAUGGUAAUUGCUUUGUUCACCUGCUCAUAUUAACACUUUGAUUCAGCGUAACUCUUUUGAUUCAGCCUUUGCAACAGCACUUUUUCCAAAUGUGAUGUUAUUACAGAGAUGUCGUACAAAAAUUGACCUAUCAUGUAGGCACAAUGCAUGCUUUUCAAUAUUACAGCAGAAAAAAAAAUGUGAUGUUUAAUGCUGCUAGUGCCUAGGAAUCUGGUAUGAGAAAACAUUAAGGUGAGUUUGGAGAAAAACUGAGCUGGUAUUAUGUUUGGAGAAAUGACUUCCUGAUUCAGAAAGAGAAUUUCAAGAGUUUAGAAUGCCUCCCAUUGUUAUAUUAGAAUCAUAUUACUCGUAAAAGGUAGUAUAAAUUUUUGUAAUAGUGAUAAUUCUGGAUUUAAUAGUUUAACAAGUGUUGACAUUUAAUUCCCAUAACAUAGGAAGUACAAUUAUAUCCAUCUUAUACACAAGGAGCUAUGGUACGGAAAGGUUCAAUAACUUGUUGAAUAUAGCAGAUCUAGUAAAUGGCAAAGUCAGGAUUUAAAUCUAGGUCAAUUUGAUUGCCAAGCCUGGGCCAUUUACUACUGUGUUAUAUAUGUUACUUCCUAUAAAAACUUAGUAAGAAGGUCUUUCAUUUUCAAACCGAAAUGGACAGAACACUGGUGUAAGCAGUGUUCUGAAGCUUUUGGUCUCAGGAUUCCUUUAUGCUCUUAAAACUUACUGAGGAUCUCAAAGGGCUUUUGUUAUUGAUAUUUACUACAUAAGAAAUGAAAACUGAGACAUCAUCUGAUAAUUAAAAAAACAAGCUAAUCAUAUGAUAAUAUAAAUAACAUUGUAGUGAAAAUAAGCAUAUAUUCUAAAACAAAAAUGUUAGUGAUGAGGUUGUGUUUUGUUUUUUACAUUUUUUUGAUUUUUUUUUUUUUUUUUAGACUAAGUCUCUGUCACCAGGCUGGAGCAGUGGUGCGAUCUCGGUUCACUGCAACCUCCACCUCCUGGGUUCAAGUGAUUCUCCUGCCUCAGCCUCCUGAGUAGCUGGGAUUACAGGCAUGUGCCACCAUGUCCAGCUAAUUUUUGUAGUUUUUAGUAGAGACGAGGUUUCACCAUGUUGAUCAGGCUGGUCUCAAACUCCUGACAGGUGAUCCACCCGCCUCGGCCUCCUGAAGCGCUGGGAUCACAGGUGUGAGCCACCACCCCCAGCAGACAUAUUUCAUUAUACAAUGCAAAAAAAGUCACGUUUUAAAAAGAUCACCACCGAGCUCACCAGGAUAGUCUUUACAUAUUCGGAAGCUGUUAAGUUCAUGGUAGCAGGUAUAAGAUGUUAAAAAUACUAAUUUUUGCUUAAAAGCUUGAAUUUUAUCACUUAUAACCUACAGGGGUCAUGGGCCAUGCUAUGAGGAUCACUGGUGUUAGAGGUUUGGUUGGAGAGAUGCAAGUAAGAGAACAUUUCCCUAACAGGCCUAAACACAUUCCUUUUCAGAGUGCUAAAGGAAUUUGAAAAUGAGGUCUCAGAAUUACUAGCAGUAAUUCCUGAUAAAUUAAGAAAAAUGGGAGAGAGUCCAGAGACAAAGACAUGAGAAAAGAUUGCUGUAACUCUCCAGAAGGAUGGAUUCUGGGUACACAAGCAGAGACUGGGUCAUAGUUCUGACAAGAGGACCUCACAGAAGACUCCAUUUGAAACACCCCCAAAGACCAUGCAGAAUAAUGUUUAAUUAAACAUCUGGACCCGCCCUGCCGCCAUGGCCCAGUCAAGUUGACACACAACAUUAUUACGAGCAGUUUGCUGGCAGAAUUCCUUCUUGCUCAGGAGAAGUCAAUCUUUGUUCUAUUAAGGUCUUCAUCUGAUUGGAUGAGGCACAUCCACAUUAUGAUUACAGAAAAACAUCUCUUUGAAGCUGGCACUGCUGAUGAAAACAAAAGCAGUAGAUGGAGAAAAGAGGACGAAUAAAGAAAAUUUGGGCUGAUGUUCUCCAGAAAAGGAAAGGGUGACCACCUUGUCAACGGAUUUGUUGAGCACCCAUUAUGUGUGGGAAGGGAUUACCAAACGCUACAGAAAUCUCUGUCUUGAGGUCAUGUAACAGUCUAUUGAGGGAACAAGGCACAUAUAUACCAAAAUGAUUUAAAUGGCAAGAUGCUAUUUGGAGUAGCUACUUUGAGGACGAGAGACAAAAAGCCUGAGGAGAAAGUCACCAUGAAGGAAACAGAAAGAUUAAAGAGCACGUGUGAUCUUUGAUUCAGAGUCCCCAUCUCACC
Symphalangus syndactylus (siamang) is the source of this 2486-nucleotide long non-coding RNA. RefSeq lists it as uncharacterized. Lineage: Eukaryota; Metazoa; Chordata; Mammalia; Primates; Hylobatidae. The record is from RefSeq and is a predicted model, not a curated record.